This 253-nucleotide ribosomal RNA is filed under the name uncultured bacterium. Its description in RNAcentral is "partial 16S ribosomal RNA". It matches the Rfam family "Bacterial small subunit ribosomal RNA", at positions 524 to 776 of the family's 1533-position model. The record is from RNAcentral.
UACGUAGGUGACAAGCGUUGUCCGGAUUUACUGGGCGUAAAGAGCGCGCAGGCGGUCGUUCAAGUCGCGUGUGAAAGCCCCCGGCUCAACUGGGGAGGGUCACGCGAUACUGUUCGACUCGAAGGCAGGAGAGGGAAGUGGAAUUCCCGGUGUAGUGGUGAAAUGCGUAGAUAUCGGGAGGAACACCAGUGGCGAAGGCGACUUCCUGGACUGUUCUUGACGCUGAGGCGCGAAAGCUAGGGGAGCAAACGGG